ACGUGAGAGCUCAUCAGCUGAACUAGCUAGCUAGCUGCGCUGCAUGCUGCUGCUGCGCUAGCCGAAUAAACUCACGAAGGGCUUAAAAUUUGGUUUAAAAAAAUUAUGUAUUGAUUCAAUUACCCCUUAAGAAUUUUAAAAUAUUAAAAGCAAUGUAAUUUUAUUUUUUUAAACUUUACUGAUUUGUUGCAUCCAAUUGUCGAACUCAUCUAUCACUCUAAUUUUGUAUUUAGCCAAACGAGGAGCAAUUUAUUCAAAAUGUCUGCGCCCUACGGCUACGGGAAAGGCCCAGGACAGGGAAUGGCACCGCCCCCGGGAAUGGCAAAUUGUCACGUCUGUGAGAAGUCGUUCAAAGUUCUAAAACGCUGCAAAAGUUGUAAAUCGACAUUUUAUUGGUAUGAGGAAUAAUGAGGAUUGCGAAUUUUGGCCCGAAUUUUUAGCAUUAUGAGUUUAAUUUAAAGCUCUCCGCGCCGCGCGCGCCCAUGGGCUCUUCCUGUCCGGUGCGGCGCCUGAGCUCCGGCGUAGCUUAUCGCGGCACGAGGCACAGGCUAGGGGCCGGGGCAGCAGGGUGAAAUUCAUACGGUUACGCCACGGGACGAUCAACAAAGCACGGUGCACGAGCGGAUUGACCAAGCCGGAUAUCGACCGAGGGGGGUAUUCUGAAAAGUCUCGCACUGAUCUCCAGAGUUGGAUUUAAGCAGGGUGCGAAUUGAGGAGCAAAAAAAAAAUUCUAGAGAAUGUCAGAUUCGUGACUGGCCCACUCAUAAACUCCAUUGCUUGCCAAAAGACAGGAGCACCAAGAGAGCAGUUGAUCUCCACUCAAAAGCUGACGGGGACAGUAUUAAAAUUGAAACGGUGAAUUUCCAGACCCUGACACUCAAUGGGGAAACAACACCAAGCUCAAGGAAGGUGGAUGACAGUAGACUGUCCUCUAAAAUGGCUUAUGACUUGCCUGUGAAAGAACAGGAGAUUCAAGGAAGUGUUCUACAACCUGGGGAGCAGAGAGCAUCGGCAUGUUCAACAAGUACAGCAGGUGACAUCGGGGAUCUGGUGACAGUCACAGUAAAAACAAGCAAACAGAAGCACCAUGUGACUCUUGAUAGAAGCUCUACGGGGACAGACUUGUUGGCGGACAUUUCAAGAACCGUGUGUAUUCCAGUCCAGCAGAUGAAGUUGAUCCACAGGGGGAAAAUUAUGAAUCCAGAAAACAUACGAGAUACCCUCAAGGAAAAAGCCGUCUUUCAAGCCAUUGGAGAAGUUGCAGAAAAUGAGGAAGGGCUGAGCGGCAAGGACAUCACCUGUGUGAUGAGCCAGAUUAAAGUGGACCGCAACACGGCCAUCAAAGCUUUGAGACAAAAGGGAAAUGCCAUUGAUGCUAUUUUGUACCUUGGUAACAAAUAAGCCAGAAGAGAUUUUAUGAUAAACUUAGUUUGCAAUAAGGGGUCCAUUUCAUGUAGAGUUACUGCUAUGUUCACUUUGCCAUAAUGGCAACUCCCAUGACAACAGGGCUCAACAGCCAUUCACAAUCAACGUUUCCAUGGUAGAAUGUAAUGGAAAAGUUAAUAUACAUGAUGUAGUGGGAACUUUUGUAUGAAAGGGACCUGUGAUGUAAGAGAUUAUUGCCUUAAUUGCCUUGAGAGAAAACGCCUUGAUAUGUUGUAUAAUGAUUUUCAGUGACAGUGCUGUGAUUUUAUUUUUAAUCGUUAUCAGUAGUUAGUUAUCGGUCUGCUGUAACAUUUUUCUGGGACAUAUUCUGAUGAAAUUCAAACCAUGUAUGGAAUGCCUACACCAGGGCUUGACGUUAGCAGUGGCCCGGGACAACAAAAAAAUGAGAGCCGGGCCACCAAAAUUUUUCGAAAGCCCACACUUGGUUGCCCAGUUUGGCUACUAAAGUUUUGAUAAAUUGUUAUGUUUUCUGGCCAUCAACUUUGCUAUGUGGGCCACUAAAAAUAUGAAAUUGAUGAUUUUGGUGGACUGAUCGAGCCACCAAGAAAAAAAGUUAGUGUGGAGUCUUACCUACAUUAAAAAUUGUUGAAUGUAAAAGAUGUCAGUGCAUCAAAUAAUUUGGUGCUGUGUUCGUAUAUUGAUUGACUUGUAAUUUGUAAAUGUCUCUACUGACAUGGACUGUGUAUUCAGUUUACCCAGUUACAAAUGAAUUUUACAUACUUCAAGGAAGAGGUUUUCAGAGUUUUAGAGUCGAUGUGCCACUCAUAUUGAAUGGUGACUUGUUGUUCAGGGAUUUUUUCCUUUCAUCAUUAAGGGAUAAUGUAUUUUACCAUCCUCAUCUUUUUUCAUGUGUUUCCAAGUCUACAACUUGUUGGCGUGAUUUAGCUUUCUACGUUCCAAAUGUUGACCACCUUGUUUACUGGUACCCUUUCUAUCGGUUCCGUAAAAUUUGCAAUGUGACCAAUAUGAGAAAUCACUAAAAACGGCUGACUUUCACAAAAAUAACAGUGACCUUGCGUAAAAUAUGAGAUCUUGACCAUUCAGCAGCUACAGUACACCCCUAAUUAUCAAUCUCAUUUGAACUGUUCUCCCUCCAGAAAGUGUUAUGUUCUGGCAAUUUCAAAAUAAUGACUGUAAACAGCAUUCCAUACUACUUAGUAAAAAACAAAAUAUUAUCACCCUUUGUUUAGAAAAGAAAACGGGGAGUAACUUUGUCCCACCAGCCAUAAAUAAAGAAUAUUGUCUACGUUCUGUUUUUGUAUUGAAAAUUAAAAGCAUAGCUUAUUAGAGUUAUAGAAUUUAAUUUAUUUAUUUACUAGUAUUCACUUUCACUUUUUUCAAUAAAAUUUAUUUCCACUUAAAACAGCAAUGUUUCCAAAUCAAUACAAUAUUGAUAAAUACAGAUACUAUAUAUGUUCAUUUUUAUAGCGCUUGAAUAUUUAUGAUGUUUGUGUGUCAUGUAUAUUUUGUUACGUGCUCUAAUAUUUUAUUUAAUAGGUAUAUGCAAGAGAAAUACUGUCAAAUGAUUGUAUUGGUAUGAAAAUAAACAUUUAUUCUAUAUUGAUUUUGAAAGUUUAAACUAUGCAUUUUCUAGUACAUAUAUAUUUAAUUUAUGAUUUGAUUUGAUAUCCCUACAGCCCACACCCAUUUUCAAACUCAUGCAUAUUUUACUAAAGGGACGAGUGUGGCUCUCAUUAUUAUUCAUCUAAAAAUGUGAAAUUGGAAUUCAGGGAAGUAUUUUGUUACAAAAAGCUAAUUUACACAAUUUGUAGACAUUUUUUCAAAGAAAAUGGGAGGGGUGUAGGCAUUUCAAGCUUAGUGCAAAAAAUAAAAAUUCUGGAGGACAAAAAAAUCUUGUUUCAUUGGAGCUUACAAAUAUGUAAUGGUAUAUUUUAUCUGAAAUUCCAUAUCAGCCCUCAUACUUGCCUGAACUCAAGCAAGGGAAAUAUCAAUCCUCUAAACAUAUUUACAUGGUUCUCAUUAAAAUUUAUAUCAUGAUUUUAUAA
This is an RNA transcript of Lytechinus pictus (painted urchin), 3452 nucleotides long. It is a transcript of the gene named SET domain-containing protein 14-like, with no coding region annotated. The transcript has 3 exons. Lineage: Eukaryota; Metazoa; Echinodermata; Echinoidea; Temnopleuroida; Toxopneustidae. The record is from RefSeq and is a predicted model, not a curated record.